GGCAGGCCUGGGCGGGCGGGGGUGCCGCGCAGGGCGGAGCGCCGGGCUGGGGAUGAGCUAAGCGGGUUCCGAGCGCCGCGGCGUUCAGCCCCUCGUGUCCCGCCGCCGUCGGGAGGGGACAGGGCGCCCCUCUCCAGGCUCGACCCGCUGCUCGCGCUGGAGGCAGCGGCGAGUAUUUCUCAAACUCUGAGGCUUGUAGAAUUCAGAAAUUAAGACCUGGCAUCAUUUUCAGGGAAAGACCUUCAGUAAUGUCUCUUAAAAGAAUUUGGCAUAUAUUCACCACAUAAUGAUUACGAAUAACAAGUGAUACAAUAUAGCUUUAUUGAAAGAUGUCUUAAGAUACACCCUGGGUCGGGACACCUGGGUGGCUCAGCGGUUGGGUGUCUGUCUGCAUUUGGCUCAGGUGUGAUCCCCGGAUCUGGGAUCAAGUCCCAUAUGGGGCUCCCUGCGUGGAGCCUGCUUCUCCCUCUGCCUGUGUCUCUGCUUCCUUCUCU
This 494-nucleotide long non-coding RNA is filed under the name Canis lupus dingo (dingo). Its description in RNAcentral is "lncRNA (ENSCAFG00020008482.1)". The record is from RNAcentral. Lineage: Eukaryota; Metazoa; Chordata; Mammalia; Carnivora; Canidae.